CCUUAAUCAGCAGCCUCCUGCAAUAAUAGUUGUGGAAUGAAAAGGCAGAGAAGAAGGAGAAAGAGGAGGAAGCAGAAAGUGGCCAAGCUCACUGGCCACAAUAUGAACUCAAAUGAAGGCAACCUGGUUUCUGUGUUCAUUCUGUAUAAAUAUCCCAAGCAAUUUACAGAGAUGGGGAGAAGGCUCUGGAGCAAAAGCCUGCGGAAUCUAGGCUGCAGUGCACUUACUCAGAUAAAGGAGAGGCUCUAGGAUCCGGGGCAGAAAUUCUCCAGCAGAAACGUUAUGCUGGGGGGAAUCACCAAUUACUCCUGUUAGCACCUGCAAGCAGGCAUUUUAACAAAGCAGCAUUCUCUCAUUCUGUUGAAAUGCACAGCAUAUCCCGCCAGGCUAAUUAAAUAGCAGCCCCUCCCUUACAAAUAAGAGCACUGCAGAGGGUGUGCUUGAGCUCAGCCCUUGCACAUAAAGGGGGACCAUUCCCAGGUUGGAUUCCAAGAGGGAAAUAAAGACUUCCAGCAAGAGGGAUCUGCUCUGUGCCUGAUGCCACCGCUCAGCUCACUCGGCAAAGCAAGCCCUCCACCAAGCUCCCUCCCACCCAGCCCCACCGAGACUGCAUCUGCCUGCCCAGACUUAAUGGGAGCAGCCGAGUUCUGCUGGCUUCAGCUUCCCAGGCACUGCCUAAUUGCAGGGCAACACCAUGUGCCACGGAGCAGUUUUGUUUGUCAACCUGAAGGGUUUUGUGUCAGCUCCAUAAAACGCAGGCAAAGUGCAUCCAGCACAGCGUGGUACGGUGUGCAGCGCAGCGAUGUCACCUGCACCUGGACACCUCUGGGACCCGUUACCCUUGCUGAGGGUGCAUCCAACGCAGUUGCCUUGGUGUCACUCCACAGCAUUUCUGUCCUUGGCCCUUUGAAUGUGGAACGACUUUCCCACAGGUGGCUACUAUGUUCUAAUACUCAUGUCUACAGAGGAGUCCAAACACUGAAACUGGAGUUAUGUGAGAUGGUACAUGUGCAAGAGAGGAUGGAAAAGACUUGUAGUGGAGAAGUUUCAAGUGGAGGAUUGAUGGCCUGUGAUCGUGAAGCCAAAUCACUCGCUAUACUUGCUUUGCACUACACGAUUUCCUGCUGUUGUUUCUAGUUACAGUAGAUAAUAAAAAAUGUUACAAAACCCUCUUAACA
This 1178-nucleotide long non-coding RNA is filed under the name Cyanistes caeruleus (blue tit). RNAcentral describes it as "lncRNA (ENSCCEG00000006950.1)". The record is from RNAcentral. Lineage: Eukaryota; Metazoa; Chordata; Aves; Passeriformes; Paridae.